GUAGGUGAACCUGCGGAAGGAUCAUUAACAAAUUCUUUUUUAUAUUAUGUGCAAAUAUUUGUUGUUUUAUAUAUAAACAACAACUACAAACCUAACUCUAAGUCUAUUAUAAAAAUAUUUAUAACAACUUUUAACAAUGGAUCUCUAGGCUCUU
This 154-nucleotide unclassified non-coding RNA is filed under the name rhizosphere metagenome. Its description in RNAcentral is "partial ribosomal RNA internal transcribed spacer region". The record is from RNAcentral.